RNAcentral lists this unclassified non-coding RNA (498 nucleotides) under uncultured Glomus. Its description in RNAcentral is "SSU rRNA". It matches the Rfam family "Eukaryotic small subunit ribosomal RNA", at positions 591 to 1092 of the family's 1831-position model. Lineage: Eukaryota; Fungi; Glomeromycota; Glomeromycetes; Glomerales; Glomeraceae. The record is from RNAcentral.
CCAAUAGCGUAUAUUAAAGUUGUUGCAGUUAAAAAGCUCGUAGUUGAAUUUCGGGAUUAGUACGUUGGUCGUGCCUUGGUACGUACUGGUGUAACUGAUUCCUCCCUUCUGACGAACCGUUAUGCCAUUAAUUUGGUGUGGCGGGAAAUCAGGACUGUUACUUUGAAAAAAUUAGAGUGUUUAAAGCAGGCUCGCGCUUGAAUACAUUAUCAUGGAAUAAUGAAAUAGGACGUUAAUCCUAUUUUGUUGGUUUCUAGGAUCGACGUAAUGAUUAAUAGGGAUAGUUGGGGGCAUUAGUAUUCAAUUGUCAGAGGUGAAAUUCUUGGAUUUAUUGAAGACUAACUACUGCGAAAGCAUUUGCCAAGGAUGUUUUCAUUAAUCAAGAACGAAAGUUAGGGGAUCGAAGACGAUCAGAUACCGUCGUAGUCUUAACCAUAAACUAUGCCGACUAGGGAUCGGAUGAUGUUAAUUUUUUAAUGACUCAUUCGGCGCCUUACG